CAGUAGGGAAUCUUCCACAAUGGGCGAAAGCCUGAUGGAGCAACGCCGCGUGUGUGAUGAAGGGUUUCGGCUCGUAAAACACUGUUGUAAGAGAAGAAUGACAUUGAGAGUAACUGUUCAAUGUGUGACGGUAUCUUACCAGAAAGGAACGGCUAAAUACGCGCCAG
RNAcentral lists this ribosomal RNA (167 nucleotides) under uncultured bacterium. RNAcentral describes it as "partial 16S rRNA". It matches the Rfam family "Bacterial small subunit ribosomal RNA", at positions 352 to 511 of the family's 1533-position model. The record is from RNAcentral.